UGCCAGCCGCCGCGGUAAUACGGAGGGGGUUAGCGUUGUUCGGAAUUACUGGGCGUAAGGCGCGCGUAGGCGGACUAGUAAGUCAGAGGUGAAAUCCCAGGGCUCAACCCUGGAACUGCCUUUAAAACUGUUAGUCUUGAGAUCGAGAGAGGUGAGUGGAAUUCCAAGUGUAGAGGUGAAAUUCGUAGAUAUUUGGAGGAACACCAGUGGCGAAGGCGGCUCACUGGCGCGAUACUGACGCUGAGGUACGAAAGCGUGGGUAGCGAACAGGAUUAGAUA
Molecule: ribosomal RNA, 279 nt
Filed under: uncultured bacterium
Lineage: Bacteria
Description: partial 16S ribosomal RNA
Rfam family: Bacterial small subunit ribosomal RNA
Source: RNAcentral